UUUUUUUUUUUUUUUUUUUUUUGGUUAAUAGGAUUACAUAAUAAUAAAGAAAUAACAAAAGAAGAGGACAAUCAGGUAUUUAAAAAUCAGGAACAGGUUAGGCAUAGUGGCUCACACCUGUAAUCCUAGCAUUUUGGAAGGCCAAGGCAGACAGACCACUUAAACCCAGGAGUUAGAGACCAGUUGAAAGGCAGUCAUGCACAGAUUGUUGGCCCCUGCUUGGCCACAUGAGUGCUAUGGGCCUGGAGUAUUUCCUUACUGGUAGUUAAGAGCCUUCACAGCCUGUGCUGGGAAACAUGGCAAAACCCUGUCUCUACUGAAAAUACACACACGAAAAAAUUAUCCGGGAGUGGUGGUGCAUGCCUGUAGUCCCAGCUAUCUGGGAGGCUGAAAUGGAAGGAUCACAUGAGCCUGGGGAGGUCGAGGCUGCCAUGAGCUGUCAUUGCUCCACUGCACUUCAGCCUGGGCGACAGACAGAGUGAAACCCUGGCUCCAAAAGAAAAGAAAAAUCAGGAAUAAGUGAGGGAGGCAGGCACAAGAUACAAGAAAAAAUGAAUACAGAGUGAGAUUUGAGAAAAAUAGAGAAAUGGCAUUUUAGGAGAAGCAAAGAUAAAAUCAUAUACUGGGAAAAGUGAUGUAUGAUGUAGUCAAAUUGAAAAAAAUAUGAAAAAUAUGGGGAAAAUGAGGGUACAUUAUUUGUCAACCAUUUCUGCACAUUGGAAGACGCUUCAUUAAAUAACUUUUGCCACCCAUGCUUAAAAAAAUAUAAUUUCUAUGAACAGAUGUGUUAAAUGCCAUUGAUUGGAAUUUUUUCCCAAGGCAUUAUGGAAUAGGCAUAUAUUGUUAAAAGGAAAAGUUUAUUAUUAUAGAACCGUAUUAUAAUAAAACUUCAAAUAUUACAAUACAACUCUAUUAUAAUAAAACUCUGUCAUAUCAGAGAGCCUUGGAGUUUUUUUAAAGAGGAAGUUAUAUGCUCUUUGAGUAUAUAAACCUUUUAUAUUUAUAUGGCAUAAAUAGGUCUAAUCUGAAUAAGGAUUAAAUCUAGAGAAAAUAUUUUUAUUUUGAAAUAUGCACAGACUCAUAAAAAUUGCAAACCUAGCAUCGAAAGGUUCUGUGUAGAUUUCAUACAGCUUCUUCCAUGGCAACAUCUUACAUAACUAUAACACUUCAUCAAAACCAAGAAACUGGCAUGGACACAAUGAAAUUAACUAAACUAUAGAUAUUAAUCAAAUUUCACCAGUUUUUAUGCUGUUUUGAAUGUGUGUGUAUAAUUUUAUGACAUUUUAUUACAUGCAUAGAUUUAUAAGUACCACCACAAUCAAGAUACAGAACUUGAGAAUAUCUUGGAAUGGAAGGGUCAGACAACAGAGAGAUGCUAUAUAUAAGAAAGUUAUUCUUAGAAAGACAAAUAAAUGGAUAUGAAACCAGAAUGUUUAAAAUAAAAAAAUGGAAAAAUUAAAUAUAAAGAAAAAAUGUACUAAACUGAAAAUAUAAAUAUGAGGGUUGGAGAGCAACAAUGUAAAAAAAAUUCACAUUUUGAAGGUUACUAUUUGCAGAAAAAUGUUUUCCAAUAUUUAUAUUGGAAAAAUAUAAAUAUAUAUAAAUACAUAUACAUGUUCCACAAUAAGAAAAUGGUCUAACUCUCCCAAAAUUUAUAUGUGUCAGCAAAACAGUCUUUUUUCUUGGAAAAAAGAAUAUGAAGUGACAGAAACAUAGGAACAUCUGAUCUCAGCGUGCAAAUGCAAACGAACUUUUGAAAUAAAUUUCUAUGGAUGUAGAGACAUGCCACACAUAUAUUUUCUAGAAAUAUAGAAACAAUUUUAAAGCAUAGCUCAGCAUCUGUGAAAUUUUUCUCUAUAUUUAUAAAUGAAUUUUUUCAAAGCAAAAAUGUAUUUUAAAGUUAAAUGCCAUAGGAAAAAUUUAGAAUAAGUUUAUUCUAAGGUGUACUCCAUAUAUAGUUCUACUAGUUAUGAUUCAGCUCAAAUUUUGCUUUCUCCAAUGACUUCUCGCAACCUCUUCAGCCCUAUUUGUUCUCCUUUUUGAUCUACACCAUUUUUCACUCAAAUAUAUUUUUCUUACUCACUAUUGAGGAAUGCAAGUUCUAUGAGGCAGAGUUUUUUGUGCAUUUUGUUUUCUCAUGAAUACCGAGUUUGCCCAAUGCCUGGCAC
This is a long non-coding RNA of Macaca fascicularis (crab-eating macaque), 2168 nucleotides long. NCBI's taxonomy places the organism in Eukaryota, Metazoa, Chordata, Mammalia, Primates, Cercopithecidae. The record is from Ensembl.